RNAcentral lists this ribosomal RNA (433 nucleotides) under uncultured bacterium. RNAcentral describes it as "partial 16S ribosomal RNA". It matches the Rfam family "Bacterial small subunit ribosomal RNA", at positions 29 to 507 of the family's 1533-position model. The record is from RNAcentral.
AACGAACGCUGGCGGCAUGCCUAACACAUGCAAGUCGAACGAGACCUUCGGGUCUAGUGGCGCACGGGUGUGUAACGCGUGGGAACCUGCCCUUAGGUUCGGAAUAACUCCCCGAAAGGGGUGCUAAUACCGGAUAAUGUCUUCGGACCAAAGAUUUAUCGCCCUUGGAUGGGCCCGCGUUGGAUUAGCUGGUUGGUAGGGUAAAAGCCUACCAAGGCGACAAUCCAUAGCUGGUCUGAGAGGCAGAUCAGCCACACUGGGACUGGGACACGGCCCAGACUCCUACGGAAGGCAGGAGAGGGGAAUAUUGGACAAUGGGCGAAAGCCUGAUCCAGCUAUGCCGCGUGAGUGAUGAAGGCCUUAGGGUUGUAAAGCUCUUUUACCCGGGAUGAUAAUGACAGUACCGGGAGAAUAAGCUCCGGCUAACUCCGUG